Molecule: ribosomal RNA, 253 nt
Filed under: uncultured bacterium
Lineage: Bacteria
Description: partial 16S ribosomal RNA
Rfam family: Bacterial small subunit ribosomal RNA
Source: RNAcentral
UACGGAGGGGGCUAGCGUUGUUCGGAAUUACUGGGCGUAAAGCGCGCGUAGGCGGCUUUGUAAGUUAGAGGUGAAAGCCCGGAGCUCAACUCCGGAACUGCCUUUAAGACUGCAUCGCUUGAAUCAUGGAGAGGUGAGUGGAAUUCCGAGUGUAGAGGUGAAAUUCGUAGAUAUUCGGAAGAACACCAGUGGCGAAGGCGACUCACUGGACAUGUAUUGACGCUGAGGUGCGAAAGCGUGGGGAGCAAACAGG